AACGCGAAGAACCUUACCCAGAUUUGACAUACAGAGGACGACGGUAGAAAUAUCGUUUCCCUUCGGGGCCUCUGAACAGGUGCUGCAUGGCUGUCGUCAGCUCGUGCCGUGAGGUGUUUGGUUAAGUCCAGCAACGAGCGCAACCCUUAUCAUUAGUUGCCAACAUUUAAGGUGGGAACUCUAAUGAGACUGCCUGGGUUAACCAGGAGGAAGGUGAGGAUGACGUCAAGUCCGCAUGGCCCUUAUAUCUGGGGCUACACACGUGCUACAAUGGUCGGUACAGAAGGCAGCGAAGCCGCGAGGUGGAGCAAAUCCUUAAAGCCGAUCUCAGUUCAGAUUGUAGUCUGCAACUCGACUACAUGAAGAUGGAAUUGCUAGUAAUGGCAGGUCAGCAACACUGCCGUGAAUACGUUCCCGGGCCUUGUACACACCGCAUAC
Molecule: ribosomal RNA, 438 nt
Filed under: uncultured bacterium
Lineage: Bacteria
Description: bacterial SSU rRNA
Rfam family: Bacterial small subunit ribosomal RNA
Source: RNAcentral